CUAGGGCCGCUCCCGUGGCAUAUGGGGGUUCCCAGGCAAGGGGUCUAAUCCGGCCUACACCACAGCCACAACAACGCGGGAUCCGAGCCGCAUCUGGAACCUAUACCACAGCUCAUGGCAACACCGAAUCUUUAACCCACUGAGCAAGGCCGGGGAUCGAACCCUCAACUUCAUGGUUUCUAGUCCGUUUCAUUAACCGCUGAGCCAUGACAGGAACUCCUCUGUUUAUCUCCAUGACACUGACCCACCACACCUGCCUGUCAUUGUCCACAUUCCUCCUCUCUCUACCUGUCAGUCAAGAAGGAACGCUAUGAAGGGGCUGACCACUGUUGACCAGUUCAUCCUAGGAAAUGUCCCUCUCCCUUUAUUGAGUGCCCUGUGAUGAUGAGUGCUAGAGAGAUCAGACCCUAAACCCCAGGAGAGGAAAGUCACAUUGGACCACACUUUAAAGAAGUUAACAUUUAGCCAUUAGCUCACCUCAACUUUGACCUUCCCCAGAAUCUCCUUGUUUCUGGGACGGACACUCCCAACAUCCCUGGAACCACCUUGCUGGGUCUUGGGAUUAAUAUUUACGAGUUAAAAGAAGGAUGUGCAAAUGUAUAUAUAAUUUAAUACAUUCUCGCAGGUUUGGUGAAAAAGGAAAGAGGAUUAAAUCUUCUUCAGUGCGGGGAAUGCAUCGGCCUCAAACUUCAGAACAUAGAUUAUCUCCUCAAUACCCAAUUCUCAGAAAACAAAUCACUGACACACAUAGCAAGUCACUCGAUGCAAUGACUAGUUUUACUCCGAACUGCACGUGCAUAUAGCGUAUGUAUCCUUAUUCUUCAACUGGGGGUUUCAUGAAGCAAUGAGAAUUCUGAGGACAUUUUAAAUAUCUAAAAUAAAUUAGGUAAUUAUUUGCUCUGUGACCAAAGCAAGGACUUUGCGUUGCUCCCAACCUGGGUUUCACAGAUAACAUUGCAGCUGGUGGCCCAAAGCACACUGUGGCCGUAAAGAAAUGUUGCCACUCACUUUGCACCGAAUCUACAGAGCACACAUAUUUUUGCCUGUCAAGCAUUCAAGACUUUGAAAUGCUGCCCUAGUGUCAGAGCUCUGAAUUCCGUGGUACCAAUGGAAUUUUAUCACACAAAAUAAAGUUAGUUGUGGUCAAUGACUAGCGAGGAAAUACUGUGAGUCCCACGGAAAAAAAUAGAAUAAUAAAAAGUUUUUUAAAAAAACAGUCUUUUGGCCACUCUCAGGCUCUCUCCCUGUGGACCAAUUAACUGACACAUUCAGAUGCUGGCUGUCCUUCCUGUUUUCAGAACCACAGGCCCAAUUACUGGGCUCCGAACAGCCGCAUUUUAUAGCUGAAAUGAUUUACUGCCCGUGUUUUCAUUGCACAGUACGUGUUCCUCUUUGUUAAACAAAAAGUUCACAGAGAAGAACUGCAACUGAGGAGGAAGAAGGGGGUGGGGCAGAGACAUGCAAGCAAUAGAUCAGACUCAAAAGCCAAAUGCAAAUUAAGGAAAAAACCGCACCCUUUGGACUUCAGCCCGUAUUCUUUUGGAUUCUGUGCCAAAUGUGUAUUUAAAAACAUCCUGAAAUAACCCCAGUUUAGAAUUUAUUUUCUGCUUUUGUCAGAAGUGCUCUUCUGCCAUAGGCUCUGUUGAAUGAUAAACCUAAUGCAGUCACCAGAGGACCAAAAAACGAGCAAUCUAUUUUGCUAUUUUGUUGUAGUCAUGACCAACUCAGGUAGACUAUGAGAGACCCUUUUCUUGGUUUAAUACUCAGUCAUUUAAAAUAUUUGGAGUGAAGGGUGGAAAAAUAGGCCUCGAAUUUUAAUACAGAUGUGGACAAAGCCAUUAACCUGAGGAAGAGAGUUUACCUGCUCUAACAGAUUGGGACUAUGCGGUUGAAAUAAAUGAGGCAUCCACCUCUUCAAUGUGAUUGUACAAAACCACUCUUCCCUGACCUGUGUCUUAGAAAUGAAUAUUCUUUUGCAAGUCCUGUCUUGGGUAAUUGAGAAAUUAUCUGCAGUAAAAAGGAGAGAAUGGUACAGCUUUACCUGCUGUAAAACCUUUGUACUCAGUGGUUUUCAGUGAGGGGAGAGAGGGAUAUACCCUCCACCCCCUUGCCCCAGGAAUCAUUUGGCAACAUCUGGAGACACUGCUGGUGUUGCAACUAGAGUGAAGGGUGCUGAUAGCUACUGGGUAGAUGCCAGAGAUUUGGUUAAACACCCUACCAUGCACAGAACAGCCCCCCACAAUAGAGAAUUACCCAAUACAAAACAUCAAUAGUGAGGAGGUUGAGAAACCCCGCUUUACACUGUCAUGUGAAUUAAGGAUCAGGUCCUUUCCUAAGUUGAGCUAAGUAAGAACAGGUUUUGUAGAGAUUUAUCUCAUCUGAGAAGGUGCCUAGGGUGAGGAGGAAUUAAGAAAGGGGCAAGAGGUACCUCGGAGGGGAAAAAAGAAAACUAAAGAGGGCAGCAACUGGAGUUGAAUAAAAACCUCUCCGACAUUUCACUUGGGCUUUAAAACCAAUUACCUACUAGAGCCUUAUUAAUAAUCAGUCUUGUUACACCCUCAUCUCUUCUAAAAGAUGACCUGGCUCCAAUCCUGCUCCCACAGGUGUUCAAAUUCUCCAUUAACUUCUUCUUUAUGCAAGGAAACAAAUUUCCCUUCUUUUUCAUUUACCCUCUUGGGACUUCUUUCUGGACAUUUGCAUUCUAGGAUUUAGUUUUUGAUAUUCAGGACGGAAAAGAAGCCUUGUUUAUAAAAAACCUUUGGGUGUUAUAUUUCAAAGUCAAUUUCACAUUAUUCAUCUGAAUUUCUAAAUAUUUUGUCUAUGAUACCACACUGGAAGAGAGGUAUCGGCCAGCUUAAUAGAGAAUUCUCAUGAUAUAAAGGGUACGGUCUCUCUCGGUUCUUUAAAAGUACUGAUAUACAUCUCAAUCUAUCAGAUCAGUAUUUCCCAUCACGUUUCCUUAGAAGAGUAGUUUCUUGUAUGUUGUUCUGAAAGAGUCAUACACUCAAAUAAGACAACAGUGUUCCCCGGUGGCCUGGCAGUUUAGGGGUGGCAUUGCCAUUGCUGUGGCUCAGGCAUGGCCAAAAAAAAAAAAAUACCAGAUAAUAACAUUAUACUGAAAAUGAGUAGCUGAGUAUGGACUAUGAUCCUGGCACUUUACUGAGUGUUUUAGUACAUAUCUUUUGUCUCCACAAUAAGCCUUGAGUUGGGACUUGUUACUCCCAUUGCACAGAGAAGCAACUUGCACAAGUUUCAUGGCUAAGAGUGAGCCUAGGAUUUCAGUAAAAUCUAUCUAUAUUCAAAGCUGAUGCUCUUCAAUACUGUUAUCUACUAGUGGGUUAAAUGGUAAGUAGGAAUUCUUUACUGUAGACUUUCUGAGACCCUUUAAUAUGCCCUUUCUACUUGGAAGCUCUAAAUUCAUUUCCCAGUGUGAUUGGUCCCAGGCACCCUUUCAGCCGUGAAGCAGCCUGUGUGAUCUGCUCUCCACAGGACCUCUUCAGAACUACAUCACAUUCUCCUCCUAGGAGAAUUUGGAUAAAGGUCCACAGAGAAGUUCACACCAGUUAGUUGUUCACUGAGUCACUUAGUAACCUGAACCGGUGGUUCAGAGUCACCACUGAAAAGCCUUGUGAAGCAGGACAAGUGUCAUGGGGCUGAUGAGAGAAAAUAUAUUUUCUGAGAGCAGAGGCCCAAGAGAGCCAGGCUGUUCCUAGAGUUGCUUUUAUAAUUUAAAUCUAGUACAAUGUCUCCCUGUAAGCCUCAUGUUGAGGUCUUUACCAAUGAACAGCUGGAGAGCAUUAAAAGCUGUGUGAAUAUUUUUUUACACUCAAGAACAAAAGAUGUUAAACUGCCAAGGCAGCUUUGGUGACUUAUGAAGUGUCCUGCAUUAUGAGCAGUUUGGUUGAUGGCAAGAUUGGUUCAUAAAGGCCAAAAAUGAAGUGUUACUAUUGAAAGACUUUCCACAGCUCCAUGAUCACAUCAUUAGCUUGUUAUGCUUUGCAGAACUUUCCUCACUGUUCUUUUUUUUUUUUUUUUUUUUGCUUUUUAGGGCUGCAGAAAUAGCAUAUGGAACUUCCCAAGCUAGGGAUUGAAUCAGAGCUACAGCUGCCAACCACAGCAACUCAGGAUCCAAGCCGUGUCUGCAACCUAUACCACAGCUCAUGGCAAUGACGGAUCCUUAACCCGCUGAUCACAGCCAGGGAUAGAACCCGCAUCCUCAUGGAUACUAGUUGGAUUCAUUUCUGCCGCGCCAUGAUGGGAACUCCAUUAUUUACUUUUAUAGUCAAUACUUAAGGAAGUCAAGAGAAGAGAUAGCAAAAUAAAACAGAUGUGAAUUUGAUGUGAUUAUAUCAUACCCUCCAAAAGGAAGAACACUUUUAAAUUCAUAUUUUUUUUCCCUUGGAAUCAGUUGCAUCACUGAAUUUUUUCAAAUAUGUAAAAUAUUGAGCAGCUCUUGCCCAAAAAGAAUUACAUGAAGCCCACACAGGGCUUUGAACAUUCAUUUGCAUUUGAAUGAUGCAAAUUGUAAUUUGGUAUAAUAAAGUCUAUGUGACUGAGAGGGAGAAAUUAUAUGAACAAACAGAAUUCCAUUCAAGUCCUAGUUCUAAUCCCAACAUGCUAACUUCAAUGUACAUGUCCCAUCAGAGGUGUGUUUCUGUGAAAUGAAUAAUAUCCUUCCUAACCCUGCCACAUCUGCCUGGCUUAAUAGGAUCAACUUAUUGGUUAUUGCAGUCAUUUUUAUUGAAUGGAUUCUCAAGGAUUCCCCACGAACAGUAUAUGUUUCUGAGUCUUCUUUGGUACAACAGAUACAACCUUAUGGUGCUACAGUAAGAGUGAUUCUUUCUAAGAUAUGUUCAGGUUCUGAUGUGGAAUUAGCAUGGUAACAAAUCUGUUUUAUGAAAGAUUAUAUCUUUGCUGGAAAAACAAUAUUAAUCAUUUGACUAUCAGACCACAAACCGCUAUAAGCAUACUUCCUUAUUUUCAAAUACAAAGAGGAUAACAAUGUAAGAAAAGUUGUCUGCUCUUUCUGCAAAAUGGCUAAUUCAUGUAAUUUCUAAGCCUGAAUAUUACACUGUCGGGUAAGGGAGAUUAACGUGUAACCAUUUGAGAAGAACAUGAAGGGAAAAGGCCAUUUCUCAUCGCUGUGUGUGUGUUUGCUUUGUCACUAUAGCACUGCACUGUCCCCUUAAAGCUGAGCUUAGAUUUUGCAAAACAGUUUCCUAAAAAGUAUGACUUUUUUAGAUUUUUUUACAGACUCAUAGACUUCAGAGAAUCUUAGACGUUGUCUAUGAUCCCACGCUGCCUUCUCCAAUCAGGACUGACUUCUUCACUGAUGGGCAGUUAGACUGAUGGGGAGGCAGCUAAGGACGCUCUAAGGUAGUUACAUUCUGUGUUGAGCAUUUCUAUUCUUUGAGAGUGCCUCCAUGAGCAAAAGCAGAAUUGACUUCCAUAAAGUUCUUCAGUGCCCUCAGGAAGGGCAACACAGACUGAACCUAGCCCUUCUUUUAAAAGACUGAAAGGCACACCAGCCCUCUCUAAGAAAGGAUCUGUUCUUCCUAGAGCCAAACACGGCCAUUCAUCCAUCCAAGCAUUCCACGAGUGAUGGUGAGCAGUCUCAGGCAUCCUUGCCUCCUUUCUCUGACACUUCUUUACAACCUUCUCUGCUUCUACUCCCCCCAUCCCCACUUUCAUGUUUGGGUUGUCUCAUUUUCCUUUCCCUUGUCUUCUCAAACUACACCCUCCCAAGUGUCACAUGGAUGAAGACCACCAAUUCCGAAUCUCCGACGCAGAUUUCGCUUUUGAGCUCAGCUCCUAACUGAACCACACGAAUGUAUCAAAGGCAAGUCAAUCCCAAAAUGUGGCGGCAGCAUCUUUCCUCAGCAUUCCCUACCUCUAUCAAUGCUAUUUAUCAUCAUCCGAGGAAGACAUUUUGAGUCACAAUAAAUCCUCUCUCCCCCUCAAUAAAUGUCCCUUCCAAUAAAUGUACCUCCUAGAACCUGAACUCUGUUUCCUCUUCUCCAUCCCCUCCUACACCCCCGCAAUCCUGCUUCCAGUCUCACCUUACUGCCCUCAUGGUGGCCAGUGAACUGCCCAAAACACAAGCAUGUGCUUGUCACAUCCAUUCUAAGAAUUACAAAAAAAGAAACUGGAUCUAACAACACCCCGUUUCACAUCAUGCAAAAGCAACCCUUACUGGACCUGUUCUGUAGACAAAAACUAUUCAAAUAAAUCUUAUUCUUUUUUAGAAGAAGUUUGAUUUAAACAAAAGAAACAGUCAGAAAAGAAUUGCAGCUUUGGAAAACAUUUCCACACAACUCACCAGUUCUCAGCUGUGAUUUGACAAUAAACAUAUGGGAGGAAAUUACAGUACACGACAAAGAUUUAAGAGCCCCAUAAAAAUACCUGUAUAUUUAAAUGAGACAUUUUCCAGACUCUUGUACCUGGGUAGAAUCAAAGGACAUGUUGUGAGAGUCUUUCAGUUUUGAAGAAAGAAGUUAAUCUUCUAUCUCCCCCAUUAUUAAUAACUCCACAGAACUUUUACACCUUUCUACACACACAGAUUAUAGGAGGUUCCUGACAGAGUCCUCUAGUGGGGAUAAAUGCACAGAGGGAGAGGAAUUUGAAAGGAUUAUGAUUCAGUAGCAGAAACAACAUUUUUUACAUUUUUUUCAUGAGGCAGGUUAACUUCUAUAUCAUAUGAAUUGUCUCUGUCACAAAUAGUGUAACACUAGAAAUGAAAACGGAUUCUGUUAGUCCUCAGUCACUUUUAUGGAAAAGAGCAGAGUGAUUUAAUUACAUAUUCUCAGGAUCCUAAAAUUGACUCCCCCUUUCUUGGCUCUUACAAUUUUCAAUAAAUACACAACUUUGGACUUUCUUGACAAGUUCCCAAGCAAAAUAUUUCGGAUUUGUUCAUUUGUCUAAAUUUACUUAGAAAACAUAUUUAAAGGAUGAUGAUAGAAUGGACCCAUCCAGAUGAGUAGGCUGUCUUAAGUUCUUAAAUUUACUUACUUCUUUUUGACAAAAUUCACAGUGCAGUCUCAUUUGCAGUGGAGUAAAAUUAAGGGAAAAGUUCUCUUUUCAUAUUAAUAUUUUUUUAAUUGAAGCAUAGUUGAUUUACAAUUUGCAUUAGUUUUUUUUAUUAUUACUCUUUUUGACCUUGAAGAGUAAUGAACUGUGAAAAAAAUAAAACACUAAAUCAUUAACAAUAAAUAAUUCCAGUUAGGUCCCAGGCCUGAAGUCUGACUUUUCUCAUCUCAAAAGAACUGACAUAAACUCUAGAAAUAAAACUGGUUUUCUUGCAUGUUUAUAAGUGUUUAUGUAAGUGUGAAACAAUGAAUUUUCUUCUUCGUUUCCUUCAAAAACAGAAAUAUUUUGGUUUAGAUUUUCAUUUUUCAUUUCCUUCCAUGCUUUGGAAUCUUUUUAAGACACUGAUGCAAAUCUGCAAAGCCAUAGCUAGGUGUGGUCAGCAGCCUCUGAAUAAGUUUAUCCUUACUUGGUGGAGGUUUAAAAAAAAAAAAAAAAA
Molecule: long non-coding RNA, 7522 nt
Filed under: Sus scrofa (pig)
Lineage: Eukaryota; Metazoa; Chordata; Mammalia; Artiodactyla; Suidae
Description: lncRNA (ENSSSCG00000058382.1)
Source: RNAcentral